UGGAAGGUGGGAUCGCGGCGAGGAGCGCGACGGAGAAGAGGAGGAUGGCGAUUGCAGGGGGCAUUUUCGUCAUUGUGUGGUUGAGACUUGAGAGACAGAGAGGCGUGUGGGAUCGGGAUCGAAUAACCGUCGGCGAGUCUUGAUUUUUCGAGUUAUAUAGUCUCUUCAGUUAUCUCAGAUCUGACACAAAUGCAUGCGUCAUUUUAGUUUUUACACUUAUUAUACUACAACUUAA
This 235-nucleotide long non-coding RNA is filed under the name Brassica napus (rape). Its description in RNAcentral is "long non-coding RNA (BNAP_LNC022831)". The record is from RNAcentral. Lineage: Eukaryota; Viridiplantae; Streptophyta; Magnoliopsida; Brassicales; Brassicaceae.